This 224-nucleotide long non-coding RNA is filed under the name Salvia miltiorrhiza (redroot sage). RNAcentral describes it as "long non-coding RNA (SMIL_LNC013385)". Lineage: Eukaryota; Viridiplantae; Streptophyta; Magnoliopsida; Lamiales; Lamiaceae. The record is from RNAcentral.
GGCAAGUUGAUUUUGAAUUAUUUUAAACUUUGAUAGUCAAGAAAUUUUAUUUUAUCUAUUAGUUCUUCAAGAUUUUAAAUUGAAAAGUUUAUGAAAAAUCGGGGUGUUACACUGACUGUCGAUGAUUGCUGAACGGUGAUGUUCUGGAGCCAACCUUUCUUCUUUCUUUAUUUCUUUCUCUUUUUUUUUUUUCUCCUUUUUUAAACCUGAGAGGUUGUGGAGCC